Molecule: long non-coding RNA, 2303 nt
Filed under: Gossypium barbadense (sea-island cotton)
Lineage: Eukaryota; Viridiplantae; Streptophyta; Magnoliopsida; Malvales; Malvaceae
Description: long non-coding RNA (GBAR_LNC012360)
Source: RNAcentral
GAACAUCAUCAUUUCCAAGCUUAUCCACUUUCCUUUUCCUUUGUUAUUCAACAACCAAGGAACCUAAAACGACAGUUCCUCUACCCCCGAUUUCAUCAAACCAUUUCCUCUCAUUUGGAUCGCUGGUGACUCUUAAAUUUUGAAACCCCAUCUAUCACCAUUUCCAAGAAAACCAGUAGUCAACCCUCUUACGCCAUAUCUCAACAAUGUCAAAUCCUACACUCUCCCACUAUCUCUUAAGACCACCUUAGAAAAACCCCCAAAACUCCCACAAACCCUUUUGCCCCUACCCCAUCGAAACUAGUCGUUAGAGAAGACCCCCACGAACCUUCCCCUCUCUACCUCAGCAAAGUUCGACACACCCCUAUUCAAGUAAGUGCUCCCACCCCUCCUCAAACCUUCUUUUGCUAGUAAACGAGCCAUUUUAUUGCCAUCUCUGGGCACAUACCCAAACAAAAAUUGUCUAAAACCCUUAGCUUUUGAUUUUGUAUCAUGGAUGUAAGCACCUACAAUCGAUUCAUCUUACCUGGAGUAAUUAAGCUUUCAAAUCAACUUCAAGGCAUCACCUUCCAAGGACACCUCCUAUAUCCCAAGAUCCAACCCCAAGUUUACUACCUGGAGACAUGUAAGGGCCUCCGCUGCAAACCCCGAAGGUAUGUGCCAAUUUAGCAUUGCUUGUGAACCAAUAACAUGACCCUAACAGUAAAAAUCUUUGACUACUACCCCUAUAUAAGACCUCCUAGACUGUUCAUGAAAGACUAAACCAAAAUUUAUUUUUAAAAAAUGUACAUCCAGAGGCCUCCAUCUCUCAACCCCAAUCUGUCAAACAAGUAAUUUUUCUUGCACCGCAUACAAUUCUUUGAGAUAGGACUACACCUUGUGCACUAUAUUCUGGAUUGAGAAAAUUACGCCAUCAUGAACCCUUCUGUUUCUCACAUUCCAUAUAAAUCACAUUGAGCACACUACUUUCCUGCAUAUGUUCAUAGGAGGCACUACAAAAAUAUGCAUUAACCAAUCUUGCAAAGAUACAUAUGAGAAUUCAUUAUGCUAUGUCAUGGUCUAAUUACAUAAGCUCAAUUAAAAAAUGUUAAAUACGAAUAUACUUUUGACGUAUAAGAAUCUAAACUUUUAACAUCGAAUCAAAUUAUUAUUUUUACAUAAUAUUUUAGUGUAUCUAAUAAAAAAUUAAUGUUCCGCAAUUAUACCUAUAUUUUGAUUUAAUUCAUUUUGCUAAUCUAUAAUAUUUUGACAUUAUUUUUAAUCUAAUGUUUAUGUACUUCAACACACCCUUUUAAUGGUGUUUCUAUUGAUGCUACACAGUUGCCUUUAUUGUUCACUUUGUACAGCAAAUAUAUACAUGCAUUUUUUCUACUUUUGGAAAAAAACCAUUUUUGAUGAUCCAAAUAAGAUCUCUAAAAUAGAAAAAAAAUGUUGGAAAAAUUGUAAUUUUUGGAAACUUUGAGGCAUAUUCUUGAUUGGUAAAGGUGAAGAGUUGAAUCAUAAAAUUAUGGUUUUAUAAUAUACUCUAUGAGACCUUUACAACGGUAUAUCAUAUGCUCAAAAUGGUUGAGUGAUGAAUGAGAAAUUGAUGCUCAAAAUAAACUACUUGUGAAUAUUUGUUGAGGAAAAGGAAAUCUUAGAUCUUACAUUGGUUAAAUGCCAAGUAUGAGAUAUGUAUAUAUAUGAUAUCCCACUUGAAGGGUUAUUGAAUGACUAAGCUUGAAACCCUGCCUCGCGUGCAAGGCCGGUAUAGAUCCAAACCCAUCCGGGUUGAGGCACACCCGCACGACGUGGACAAUACGAAAUGUCUGAACCGAUCGGGCCAAAGAAGGGCCUGCGAAUAUUUUAAGCCCAACACGAAAUUUAUUUCUCUCAGCAAAUAUUAUACAGAAUUUGUUUUUAAAGGACAUAUAUCUUGAUUUGAUUUGAUUCCAAUCAAUUUGAUUUAAUUUUAUUCAAGUUGAUUUAAAGGCUCCUUUAAUGCAGAUUUGUAUAUUUAUUCAUGUAAAUUUCUAAAAUUCUAUCAUAUUGAAUGCCUAUAAAAGCCUAAAGAACUCUACAGGAUUUUAUGACACAUAGCUACAACAAAUUUAUUUCACUCUCAAAAUUCUUUUCUCUUUUCUGUCCAUAUUUUUCAACAUUUCAGUGAUAGAAGAAGGUAAGGUUUGUUCGUUGAUAAUUGCAAAUGUACUAUUGUUGCGAUCAUUUUGUUGUUGUAUCCGAGGAGACAGUCAACCAACGUUUCUUUAAGUACCAUAGGAGCGGCCGAAUCUAUCUUAAGAAAAUUGUGAAAAUAAGCCUCA